UACAGAGGUCCCAAGCGUUGUUCGGAUUCACUGGGCGUAAAGGGUGCGUAGGCGGCCGGGUAAGUCUGAUGUGAAAUCCCGCAGCUCAACUGCGGAACUGCAUCGGAUACUCUCCGGCUAGAGGAAUGGAGGGGAGACUGGAAUUCUCGGUGUAGCAGUGAAAUGCGUAGAUAUUCGGAAGAACACCAGUGGCGAAGGCGACUCACUGGACACAUAUUGACGCUGAGGUGCGAAAGCGUGGGGAGCAAACAGG
This 253-nucleotide ribosomal RNA is filed under the name uncultured bacterium. RNAcentral's name for it is "partial 16S ribosomal RNA". It matches the Rfam family "Bacterial small subunit ribosomal RNA", at positions 524 to 776 of the family's 1533-position model. The record is from RNAcentral.